AGUCAAUGUGUCAAUAGCUGUCAAAUGGAUGCUUACUUGUUUUCAUUCAACACAAAAUACUCUGAGAAAUGGAAGUGAACAAUUCAAACUUGUGUCGGCUGUGUUUUGAUGAAGGAAUUAUCAAUAUUUUCAAUGAAAAUGGACAAGAUUUUAUCAAAAUAAUUCGGCAACAUCUCGGCUGCGAAGUUCAUGAAAAUGAUAUGCUUCCAAAGUGUGUAUGCUCGGUUUGCUGGAAUCAAGUGAGAAGCUUUCAUAGCUUCUAUAAAUUCGUCAAAAAGAAACAGAAUGCGUUUCUAUCGAAAUUAAAACCAGAAACGUCCAUGCGACUCGCAUUGAACUCCGUACAUGCACGAGAACAAUCUUCAUCAAAUGUGAUCACAGAGCUGAGUGCAUCCGAUCCAGUUUUUGGCGAGGUUGUUGCGAUAAAAACAGAACCUGUUGAAUCUCUCCUAACUGAAACAGAAAAUGUAUUAGCAGACAAAGUGUACGAAGAAAUGGGCCAAAUUUGUGAAACACAAGUCAAAAGGAAAGUUGGAAGACCAAGAAAAGUUCAGAAGAAAAGUGACUAUGAAUAUAAAGUGGAUAAAAUGUCGAAUGAAUUUGAAUCAGACGAUAGUUGCAUGACGGGCGGUAAAAGAAAAAGAGGAAGACCGAAAAAAAGCAAAAUCGAUGACGAUCAGGAAUUGUCAAAAAUAAAGAACAAAAGGCCAAGAGGUGAACAAUCUAAAUCGCUCUCAAUAUAUACCUUGGGCAAAGAUUAUGAAGCUUUUAUGCUGGAAAACUUCAAUAUGUCGUGUGAAUUGUGUUCAGCAAAGGAUUUCAAGUGUUUUUUCGAUGUCAAAACUCAUUAUUCGGAUGAGCAUCAAAGCAAUGGAUAUGUUAAGUGCUGUGACAAAAAGUUUAUCUACAUAAGUCAGGUGGUCGAUCACAUCGAUUACCAUUUGAAUCCGGAUGUUCUCAAGUGUAAACUAUGCGGCCAUCGAAAUAAAUCCAAAGCGCUUCUCCGAAAACACAUGAGACUGGCGCAUGAACAGAAACAUCGAUUUAAAUGUGACAUCUGCGGGAACACAUUCAAUAGAAAACCGCACAUGAAGAUGCACAUACUUCGAUUGCACGUUCCAAAGAAUCCCAACAUCAAAUGUGAACAAUGUGACCAAACAUUUUCCUCAAUAGAAAUAUUGAAGACUCAUCAAAUUGUAGUGCACGAGAAACAGUACAAUAAAAAACGGGUUCAAUGCGAAAUUUGUGGGAAGUCAAUCAAUUUUUCUCGCGUUGAAAAUCAUCGUAUCUCGCAUUUGGAUAAAGAAGAACGUUGGAAGAAUCGUGCUCAGUGUGAUAUUUGCGGGGAAUGGUUUACAUCUGCGAGCACGCUGAAGAUCCACAAGUUUACUCAUGAUGCGUCACAAGAAGAGUGUGGAAUAUGUCAUAAGAUGUUUGGGCAUAAAGCCAAUUUAAACGAACAUAUCCGGAGAAUGCAUCGCGAACGAGAAUUUAAAUGCAAAUUGUGCCCUAGUGCGUUUAUAAGACAACACCAGUUGAAUCUGCAUAUGGAGAGUCACACGAAAGUCAGGCAAUACCCAUGCCUAUUCUGCCCGAAAAUAUUUUACGUUCAAAAGUCAAUGCACAUUCACUACAGUCGUCAUCAUCGCGCUGAAUUCGAAGAAGUGAAACGGAAGAGAAGAAUCGAAUACAUUGGUGGACCUUAAUUUAUAUGAAAAAUACCUUUCCUAUGUUGAACUGAAGCGCUUCAUUUGACUGAUGCUUAUUUUUUUACGACAUUUUAUGAAACAUUUAAUAAAUUGAUUUUGUAUUUUAUAAUUGAAACGAUAAGAUGUUCAUACUUUCAUAAAUUUUCAUCAUUUGAAGCCGAUAAUAUGUUCCACUGACAGUUGUGUCAAGUACGCAGCCAUUUUGGCAGAGCUGUCAAACGAUUUCGGUUUGAAUCUGACAUAUACCUUUUAACGAUGAUUUUCAUAUAAACAAAAGUGUGAUUCGGAAAAUUUCAUUAAAAAUUCCGCAUUGAAUUGGGAAUUUCGCUAGAGAAAAAAAUGAAUGCAAACACCCGAAAAAUCAUAAGUAAGGAGACGCAGGAGGCGGUUAAACGUUUUCUCACAUCAAAUAUUUCAAUACGUAAUGCAUCACCUCAGACGCCAAACAUUAUGGACCAGCAUUUUUCCCGAAUUCUUCAAAAGAAACGAGAGGAACAAUUGGAAGCGUCGAGACAAAGACUGUUUGACAGCAGAAAUGAGUCUGCAUUUGGAAAAAAUGGUUCCAUGCCGGUUGAAAAAGAUAUUACUCUCGAUAACAGCAUGAUAUUCUUCGGAAGAGUAAAUAAAUCAUGGCGCGAUGUAUCUGGCGAAGAUAGUUUCUUGGCCAUGGAACGUCAAUGUAAUAUGGAAGACAAAACCGAGCGUAUAAUUAAUGCCAACGAUACUUUGCUAUUUGACAUCGAACCACCUGCUGAACUCUGGAAUCAAACCGUUAACCAAAGCGACACUGUCGAGGGUUUGGAUAAAUCAAAAGACAAAAACGAUUAUAAAGACGAAUAUGACGAAGAGAAAGAUGAUGGAGAUGAAACAAUUGAAAUUUCUCCGGUGAAGUACAUUGGCCUGAUCCGUCCGUCCACAAUCAUCGAAGAAACGUCGUCACAGCUUGAUUCAUACAACAAGAAUGGCAGUACAUUGUUGUCGACAAAGUCGUCAUUGUAUGAAACGGCGUCAAUAAACGAAUCAGUGAAUGGCAACAGUUCAAAAUCAAUCGAUGAUUUAUCAGUGGAUGGUAAAAGUUCCGCAACUGAUGUUGUCCAACUGAUCAAAAAUGAUGGGAUUGAAAGUGAUUCGAAAAAGGAAAAUGGAAGUAAUGCGAAUCAUGAAGAUGCUAUCGCCUCACCAUUUGAUAAGCAAUGUGCUGAACGUCAACGCCGAGGCACCUUUGCGUUUAAACGCGACAAUUAUACAUUUUUUCCCGACCAAAACUUGGAACCAAUCGAUGAAAGUGGUGCAAACAGAAGCUUAAUCGACUUUGGAGCCAAGUCAAAGGAUGACAAUAGUAUUGAAAAUGAAGAUCAAUUCAAUAAUACACUCGAACGUGUGGACUACCUUUUGGAAAGAGGUAAACAGAUAUGGGAAGAGACACCAAUUGCAAAACGAAGCACUCAUCACCAAAGUCUCAUGGAAACACCGCUGUUUUCGUGCAAGCGAAAGAGACUGCUCAACGAAAUGGCCUCCAUUGAAAUGCUUCCAUUGGCCAAACGAGGUCCCCUGAUUGACUGUUCAACGCCAGAAAUAUUGCAUAAAAUGCGAUUCAACAAAUUUUCUGGCAAAUGACACACAGUUGGUUGCCAAUAGGAGGCAAUACUCAUUAUGACACAUUCCUUUCCAUACAUGCCUGCAUGAUAAAUUGCAAUUAAAUUAAUAUAGGUGUUAGUAAAAUAUAUUUACAAAAUAUAUUAUUAUUAUUUCCAUCACAAAGUGAUUAAAAUAUCCGUUCAAUUAACUUGUGAAAGAGUUUAAAAUUUUUAUUUUUACUCAUUUUCGUUUGUAAUUAUACAUUUAAUCUAAAUUUAAUCUGUUUACUAUGCAAUAUCAUUUUCAUAUCAAUAAAUAUAUCAUUUUUGGUACACCAA
RNA transcript from Sitodiplosis mosellana (orange wheat blossom midge), 3625 nucleotides. RefSeq lists it as uncharacterized. The transcript has 8 exons. NCBI's taxonomy places the organism in Eukaryota, Metazoa, Arthropoda, Insecta, Diptera, Cecidomyiidae. The record is from RefSeq and is a predicted model, not a curated record.